Molecule: ribosomal RNA, 322 nt
Filed under: uncultured eukaryote
Lineage: Eukaryota
Description: partial 18S ribosomal RNA
Rfam family: Eukaryotic small subunit ribosomal RNA
Source: RNAcentral
CCCUUAGAUGUUCUGGGCCGCACGCGUGCUACACUGAGUGGAUCAGCGGGUCAGGUUGCGCGAAAGUGUUUCCUAAUCUUUAAAUCCGCUCGUGAUGGGGAUUGACGGUUGCAAUUUUCCGUCGUGAACGAGGAAUACCUUGUAAGCGCGGGUCAUCAUCCCGCGCUGAAUACGUCCCUGCCCUUUGUACACACCGCCCGUCGCUCCUACCGAUUGAGUGGUCCGGUGAGGCUUUGGGAUCUGAGCGGAAAGAGCGUUUCGCUGUUUCUGCCCGGAAAACUCAGUCGAACCUUAUCAUUUAGAGGAAGGAGAAGUCGUAACA